AACGAACGCUGGCGGCAUGCCUAACACAUGCAAGUCGAACGAGACCUUCGGGUCUAGUGGCGCACGGGUGCGUAACGCGUGGGAACCUGCCCUUAGGUUCGGAAUAACUCCCCGAAAGGGGUGCUAAUUCCGGAUAAUGUCUUCGGACCAAAGAUUUAUCGCCUUUGGAUGGGCCCGCGUUGGAUUAGCUAGUUGGUAGGGUAAAAGCCUACCAAGGCGACGAUCCAUAGCUGGUCUGAGAGGAUGAUCAGCCACACUGGGACUGAGACACGGCCCAGACUCCUACGGGAAGCAGCAGUGGGGAAUAUUGGACAAUGGGCGAAAGCCUGAUCCAGCAAUGCCGCGUGAGUGAUGAAGGCCUUAGGGUUGUAAAGCUCUUUUACCCGGGAUGAUAAUGACAGUACCGGGAGAAUAAGCUCCGGCUAACUCCGUG
RNAcentral lists this ribosomal RNA (433 nucleotides) under uncultured bacterium. RNAcentral's name for it is "partial 16S ribosomal RNA". It matches the Rfam family "Bacterial small subunit ribosomal RNA", at positions 29 to 507 of the family's 1533-position model. The record is from RNAcentral.